ACACACGGCGGGUGCUAACGUCCGUCGUGAAGAGGGAAACAACCCAGACCGCCAGCUAAGGUCCCAAAGUCAUGGUUAAGUGGGAAACGAUGUGGGAAGGCCCAGACAGCCAGGAUGUUGGCUUAGAAGCAGCCAUCAUUUAAAGAAAGCGUAAUAGCUCACUGGUCGAGUCGGCCUGCGCGGAAGAUGUAACGGGGCUAAACCAUGCACCGAAGCUGCGGCAGCGACACUGUGUGUUGUUGGGUAGGGGAGCGUUCUGUAAGCCUGCGAAGGUGUGCUGUGAGGCAUGCUGGAGGUAUCAGAAGUGCGAAUGCUGACAUAAGUAACGAUAAAGCGGGUGAAAAGCCCGCUCGCCGGAAGACCAAGGGUUCCUGUCCAACGUUAAUCGGGGCAGGGUGAGUCGACCCCUAAGGCGAGGCCGAAAGGCGUAGUCGAUGGGAAACAGGUUAAUAUUCCUGUACUUGGUGUUACUGCGAAGGGGGGACGGAGAAGGCUAUGUUGGCCGGGCGACGGUUGUCCCGGUUUAAGCGUGUAGGCUGGUUUUCCAGGCAAAUCCGGAAAAUCAAGGCUGAGGCGUGAUGACGAGGCACUACGGUGCUGAAGCAACAAAUGCCCUGCUUCCAGGAAAAGCCUCUAAGCAUCAGGUAACAUCAAAUCGUACCCCAAACCGACACAGGUGGUCAGGUAGAGAAUACCAAGGCGCUUGAGAGAACUCGGGUGAAGGAACUAGGCAAAAUGGUGCCGUAACUUCGGGAGAAGGCACGCUGAUACGUAGGUGAAGUCCCUCGCGGAUGGAGCUGAAAUCAGUCGAAGAUACCAGCUGGCUGCAACUGUUUAUUAAAAACACAGCACUGUGCAAACACGAAAGUGGACGUAUACGGUGUGACGCCUGCCCGGUGCCGGAAGGUUAAUUGAUGGGGUCAGCGCAAGCGAAGCUCUUGAUCGAAGCCCCGGUAAACGGCGGCCGUAACUAUAACGGUCCUAAGGUAGCGAAAUUCCUUGUCGGGUAAGUUCCGACCUGCACGAAUGGCGUAAUGAUGGCCAGGCUGUCUCCACCCGAGACUCAGUGAAAUUGAACUCGCUGUGAAGAUGCAGUGUACCCGCGGCAAGACGGAAAGACCCCGUGAACCUUUACUAUAGCUUGACACUGAACAUUGAGCCUUGAUGUGUAGGAUAGGUGGGAGGCUUUGAAGUGUGGACGCCAGUCUGCAUGGAGCCGACCUUGAAAUACCACCCUUUAAUGUUUGAUGUUCUAACGUUGACCCGUAAUCCGGGUUGCGGACAGUGUCUGGUGGGUAGUUUGACUGGGGCGGUCUCCUCCUAAAGAGUAACGGAGGAGCACGAAGGUUGGCUAAUCCUGGUCGGACAUCAGGAGGUUAGUGCAAUGGCAUAAGCCAGCUUGACUGCGAGCGUGACGGCGCGAGCAGGUGCGAAAGCAGGUCAUAGUGAUCCGGUGGUUCUGAAUGGAAGGGCCAUCGCUCAACGGAUAAAAGGUACUCCGGGGAUAACAGGCUGAUACCGCCCAAGAGUUCAUAUCGACGGCGGUGUUUGGCACCUCGAUGUCGGCUCAUCACAUCCUGGGGCUGAAGUAGGUCCCAAGGGUAUGGCUGUUCGCCAUUUAAAGUGGUACGCGAGCUGGGUUUAGAACGUCGUGAGACAGUUCGGUCCCUAUCUGCCGUGGGCGCUGGAGAAUUGAGGGGGGCUGCUCCUAGUACGAGAGGACCGGAGUGGACGCAUCACUGGUGUUCGGGUUGUCAUGCCAAUGGCACUGCCCGGUAGCUAAAUGCGGAAGAGAUAAGUGCUGAAAGCAUCUAAGCACGAAACUUGCCCCGAGAUGAGUUCUCCCUGACUCCUUGAGAGUCCUGAAGGAACGUUGAAGACGACGACGUUGAUAGGCCGGGUGUGUAAGCGCAGCGAUGCGUUGAGCUAACCGGUACUAAUGA
Molecule: ribosomal RNA, 1943 nt
Filed under: Escherichia coli
Lineage: Bacteria; Pseudomonadati; Pseudomonadota; Gammaproteobacteria; Enterobacterales; Enterobacteriaceae
Description: partial 23S ribosomal RNA
Rfam family: Bacterial large subunit ribosomal RNA
Source: RNAcentral